UACGUAGGCAGCGAGCGUUGUUCGGAGUUACUGGGCGUAAAGGGUGUGUAGGCGGUUGUUUAAGUUUGGUGUGAAAUCUCCCGGCUCAACUGGGAGGGUGCGCCGAAUACUGAAUGACUUGGAGUGCGGGAGAGGAGAGUGGAAUUCCUGGUGUAGCGGUGAAAUGCGCAGAUAUCAGGAAGAACACCCGUGGCUAAGGCGGCUCUCUAGUACGGUACUGACGCUGAGACGCGAAAGCGUGGGGAGCGAACAGG
This 254-nucleotide ribosomal RNA is filed under the name uncultured bacterium. RNAcentral's name for it is "partial 16S ribosomal RNA". It matches the Rfam family "Bacterial small subunit ribosomal RNA", at positions 524 to 776 of the family's 1533-position model. The record is from RNAcentral.